GGGUUGUGAGGUUAAGCGACCAAGCGUACACGGUGGAUGCCCUGGCAGUCAGAGGCGAUGAAGGACGUGCUAAUCUGCGAAAAGCGCCGGCGAGGUGAUAUGAACCCUUGACCCGGCGAUGUCCGAAUGGGGAAACCCAGUGUGACUCGUCACACUAUCAUUAACUGAAUCCAUAGGUUAAUGAGGCGAACCGGGGGAACUGAAACAUCUAAGUACCCCGAGGAAAAGAAAUCAACCGAGAUUCCCCCAGUAGCGGCGAGCGAACGGGGAGGAGCCCAGAGCCUGAAUCAGCAGGUGUGUUAGUGGAAGUGUCUGGAAAGGCACGCGAUACAGGGUGAGAGCCCCGUACACGAAAAUGCACCUGCUGUGAGCUCGAUGAGUAGGGCGGGACACGUGGUAUCCUGUCUGAAUAUGGGGGGACCAUCCUCCAAGGCUAAAUACUCCUGACUGACCGAUAGUGAACCAGUACCGUGAGGGAAAGGCGAAAAGAACCCCGGCGAGGGGAGUGAAAAAGAACCUGAAACCGUGUACGUACAAGCAGUGGGAGCACAGGUUUACCUGUGUGACUGCGUACCUUUUGUAUAAUGGGUCAGCGACUUAUAUUCUGUAGCAAGGUUAACCGAAUAGGGGAGCCGGAGGGAAACCGAGUCUUAACCGGGCGUUAAGUUGCAGGGUAUAGACCCGAAACCCGGUGAUCUAGCCAUGGGCAGGUUGAAGGUUGGGUAACACUAACUGGAGGACCGAACCGACUAAUGUUGAAAAAUUAGCGGAUGACCUGUGGCUGGGGGUGAAAGGCCAAUCAAACCGGGAGAUAGCUGGUUCUCCCCGAAAGCUAUUUAGGUAGCGCCUCGUGAACUCAUCUCCGGGGGUAGAGCACUGUUUCGGCUAGGGGGCCAUCCCGGCUUACCAACCCGAUGCAAACUGCGAAUACCGGAGAAUGUUAUCACGGGAGACACACGGCGGGUGCUAACGUCCGUCGUGAAGAGGGAAACAACCCAGACCGCCAGCUAAGGUCCCAAAGUCAUGGUUAAGUGGGAAACGAUGUGGGAAGGCCCAGACAGCCAGGAUGUUGGCUUAGAAGCAGCCAUCAUUUAAAGAAAGCGUAAUAGCUCACUGGUCGAGUCGGCCUGCGCGGAAGAUGUAACGGGGCUAAACCAUGCACCGAAGCUGCGGCAGCGGCACGCAAGUGUUGUUGGGUAGGGGAGCGUUCUGUAAGCCGUUGAAGGUGUGCUGUGAGGCAUGCUGGAGGUAUCAGAAGUGCGAAUGCUGACAUAAGUAACGAUAAAGCGGGUGAAAAGCCCGCUCGCCGGAAGACCAAGGGUUCCUGUCCAACGUUAAUCGGGGCAGGGUGAGUCGACCCCUAAGGCGAGGCCGAAAGGCGUAGUCGAUGGGAAACGGGUUAAUAUUCCCGUACUUGGUGUUACUGCGAAGGGGGGACGGAGAAGGCUAUGUUGGCCGGGCGACGGUUGUCCCGGUUUAAGCGUGUAGGCUGGUUUUCCAGGCAAAUCCGGAAAAUCAAGGCUGAGGCGUGACGACGAGGCACCACGGUGCUGAAGCAACAAAUGCCCUGCUUCCAGGAAAAGCCUCUAAGCGUCAGGUAACAUCAAAUCGUACCCCAAACCGACACAGGUGGUCAGGUAGAGAAUACCAAGGCGCUUGAGAGAACUCGGGUGAAGGAACUAGGCAAAAUGGUGCCGUAACUUCGGGAGAAGGCACGCUGACAUGUAGGUGAAGCGGUUUACCCGUGGAGCUGAAGUCAGUCGAAGAUACCAGCUGGCUGCAACUGUUUAUUAAAAACACAGCACUGUGCAAACACGAAAGUGGACGUAUACGGUGUGACGCCUGCCCGGUGCCGGAAGGUUAAUUGAUGGGGUCAGCGCAAGCGAAGCUCCUGAUCGAAGCCCCGGUAAACGGCGGCCGUAACUAUAACGGUCCUAAGGUAGCGAAAUUCCUUGUCGGGUAAGUUCCGACCUGCACGAAUGGCGUAAUGAUGGCCAGGCUGUCUCCACCCGAGACUCAGUGAAAUUGAACUCGCUGUGAAGAUGCAGUGUACCCGCGGCAAGACGGAAAGACCCCGUGAACCUUUACUAUAGCUUGACACUGAACACUGGUCCUUGAUGUGCAGGAUAGGUGGGAGGCUUUGAAGCGUGGACGCCAGUCUGCGUGGAGCCGUCCUUGAAAUACCACCCUUUAAUGGCUGGUGUUCUAACGUGGGCCCCUGACCGGGGUUGCGGACAGUGUCUGGUGGGUAGUUUGACUGGGGCGGUCUCCUCCCAAAGAGUAACGGAGGAGCACGAAGGUUGGCUAAUCCUGGUCGGACAUCAGGAGGUUAGUGCAAUGGCAUAAGCCAGCUUGACUGCGAGCGUGACGGCGCGAGCAGGUGCGAAAGCAGGUCAUAGUGAUCCGGUGGUUCUGAAUGGAAGGGCCAUCGCUCAACGGAUAAAAGGUACUCCGGGGAUAACAGGCUGAUACCGCCCAAGAGUUCAUAUCGACGGCGGUGUUUGGCACCUCGAUGUCGGCUCAUCACAUCCUGGGGCUGAAGUAGGUCCCAAGGGUAUGGCUGUUCGCCAUUUAAAGUGGUACGCGAGCUGGGUUUAGAACGUCGUGAGACAGUUCGGUCCCUAUCUGCCGUGGGCGCUGGAAGAUUGAGGGGGGCUGCUCCUAGUACGAGAGGACCGGAGUGGACGCAUCACUGGUGUUCGGGUUGUCAUGCCAAUGGCACUGCCCGGUAGCUAAAUGCGGAAGAGAUAAGUGCUGAAAGCAUCUAAGCACGAAACUUGCCCCGAGAUGAAUCUUCCCUGAGACUUUAAGUCUCCUGAAGGAACGUUGAAGACGACGACGUUGAUAGGCCGGGUGUGUAAGCGCAGCGAUGCGUUGAGCUAACCGGUACUAAUGAACCGUGAGGCUUAACCUUACAACGCCGAAG
Molecule: ribosomal RNA, 2926 nt
Filed under: Salmonella bongori serovar 66:z41:- str. SA19983605
Lineage: Bacteria; Pseudomonadati; Pseudomonadota; Gammaproteobacteria; Enterobacterales; Enterobacteriaceae
Also listed under: 2 other names
Description: bacterial LSU rRNA
Rfam family: Bacterial large subunit ribosomal RNA
Source: RNAcentral